RNAcentral lists this ribosomal RNA (912 nucleotides) under uncultured archaeon. RNAcentral's name for it is "bacterial SSU rRNA". It matches the Rfam family "Archaeal small subunit ribosomal RNA", at positions 4 to 922 of the family's 1478-position model. The record is from RNAcentral.
CCGGUUGAUCCUGCCGGAGGCGACCGCUAUUGGAGUUCGAUUAAGCCAUGCGAGUAGAAAGAAAUUAGAUUCUUUGCAUACUGCUCGGUAACACGUGGAUAACCUGCCCUACACUGGGGGAUAACCUCGGGAAACUGAGAAUAAUACCCCAUAGACCACAACGCCUGGAACGGUGUGUGGUUGAAAGCUCAGGCGGUGUAGGAUGGGUCUGCGGCGUAUCAGGUCGUAGGGGGUGUAAUGGACCUCCUAGCCAUCGACGCGUACGGGUUGUGGGAGCAAUAGCCCGGAGACGGAUUCUGAGACACGAAUCCGGACCCUACGGGGUGCAGCAGGCGCGAAAACUUCACACUGCAGGCAACUGUGAUGAGGGAACUCCAAGUGACUGCACAUUGUGUAGCCUUUUCUUGAAUUUUAAUAGUUCUUGGAAUAAGGGCUGGGAAAGACCGGUGCCAGCCGCCGCGGUAAUACCGGCAGCUCAAGUGGUCGUCGCUUUUAUUGGGCCUAAAACGUCCGUAGCCUGUUUGGUAAAUCUGUGGGUAAAUCAAUCCGCUCAACGGAUUGAAUUCUGCAGAGACUGCCAGACUAGGGACCGGGAGAGGUAUGAGGUACUCUGGGGGUAGGGGUAAAAUCCUGUCAUCCUCAGAGGACCACCUGUUGCGAAGGCGUCAUACUGGAACGGAUCCGACGGUCAGGGACGAAGCCUAGGGGCACGAACCGGAUUAGAUACCCGGGUAGUCCUAGGUGUAAACGCUGUGGAUUUGGUGUUGGGGAUCCGCAAUGGGUCCCCAGUGCCGGAGUGAAGAUGUUAAAUCCACUGCCUGGGGAGUACGGUCGCAAGGCUGAAACUUAAAGGAAUUGGCGGGGGAGCACUGCAACGGGAGGAGCGUGCGGUUUAAUUGGAUCAACGCCGGC